Molecule: small nuclear RNA, 137 nt
Organism: Mustela putorius furo (domestic ferret)
Lineage: Eukaryota; Metazoa; Chordata; Mammalia; Carnivora; Mustelidae
Gene: U4
Rfam family: U4 spliceosomal RNA
About the family: U4 small nuclear RNA (U4 snRNA) is a component of the major U2-dependent spliceosome. The structure of U4 snRNA from yeast and human has been reported.
Source: Ensembl
CACACAGUGAAAUGCCAUUUGGCCAAUGAGGUUUAUCUGUGACACAAUCAUUGCUAAUUGAAAACUUCUCCCAGUACCCCGCAGUGACAAAUUGAGAUAGAGCUGGCAUUGGCAAUUUUUGACAGUCUCUAUGGAGA